This 634-nucleotide ribosomal RNA is filed under the name uncultured Ensifer sp. RNAcentral describes it as "bacterial SSU rRNA". It matches the Rfam family "Bacterial small subunit ribosomal RNA", at positions 19 to 701 of the family's 1533-position model. The record is from RNAcentral. Lineage: Bacteria; Pseudomonadati; Pseudomonadota; Alphaproteobacteria; Hyphomicrobiales; Rhizobiaceae.
CUGGCUCAGAACGAACGCUGGCGGCAAAGGCUUAACACAUGCAAGUCGAGCGCGUAGCAAUACGAGCGGCACGGGUGAGUAACGCGUGGGAAUCUACCCUUUUCUACGGAAUAACGCAGGGAAACUUGUGCUAAUACCGUAUACGCCCUUCGGGGGAAAGAUUUAUCGGAGAAGGAUGAGCCCGCGUUGGAUUAGCUAGUUGGUGGGGUAAAGGCCUACCAGGAGGCGACGAUCCAUAGCUGGUCUGAGAGGAUGAUCAGCCACAUUGGGACUGAGAGACCCCAAACUCCUACGGGAGGCAGCAGUGGGGAAUAUUGGACAAUGGGCGCAAGCCUGAUCCAGCCAUGCCGCGUGAGUGAUGAAGGCCCUAGGGUUGUAAAAGGCUCUUUCACCGGUGAAGAUAAUGACGGUAACCGGAGAAAGCCGGCCGGCUAACUUCGUGCCAGCAGCCGCGGUAAUACGAAGGGGGCUAGCGUUGUUCGGAAUUACUGCGUAAAGACCGCACGUAGGCGGACAUUUAAGUCAGGGGUGAAAUCCCGGGGCUCAACCCCGGAACUGCCUGAUACUGGGUGUCUAGAGUCCGGAAGAGGUGAGUGGAAUUCCGAGUGUAGAGGUGAAAUUCGUAGAUAUUCGG